This is a long non-coding RNA of Salvelinus sp. IW2-2015, 292 nucleotides long. RefSeq lists it as uncharacterized. The record is from RefSeq and is a predicted model, not a curated record. Lineage: Eukaryota; Metazoa; Chordata; Actinopteri; Salmoniformes; Salmonidae.
GCAGCGUGCCAGACCUCCUCAACAGUGGAACCUCGACUACACUCUUGGUCCCUUUGAAGGACUGACCCCCGAGUACAUGGAGAUGAUUAUCCAGUUUGGUUUUGUGUCUCUGUUUGUCGCGUCGUUCCCUCUGGCUCCUCUCUUCGCUCUCCUCAACAACGUGAUCGAGAUCCGCCUCGAUGCCAAGAAGUUUGUCACCGAGCUGCGACGACCGGACGCUGUCCAAGCCAAAGACAUCGGAAUCUGGUACAACAUCCUGAGUGAAUGGGAAAGUUCUCUGUCAUUAUAAAUG